Molecule: ribosomal RNA, 253 nt
Filed under: uncultured bacterium
Lineage: Bacteria
Description: partial 16S ribosomal RNA
Rfam family: Bacterial small subunit ribosomal RNA
Source: RNAcentral
GACGUAGGGGGCGAGCGUUGUCCGGAUUUAUUGGGCGUAAAGAGCUCGUAGGCGGCUCGUUGCGUCGGCUGUGAAAACCCGCAGCUCAACUGUGGGCUUGCAGCCGAUACGGGCGGGCUGGAGUUCGGUGAGGGAGACUGGAAUUCCUGGUGUAGCGGUGAAAUGCGCAGAUAUCAGGAGGAACACCGGUGGCGAAGGCGGGUCUCUGGGCCGAUACUGACGCUGAGGAGCGAAAGCGUGGGGAGCGAACAGG